This is a long non-coding RNA of Silurus meridionalis, 748 nucleotides long. RefSeq lists it as uncharacterized. Lineage: Eukaryota; Metazoa; Chordata; Actinopteri; Siluriformes; Siluridae. The record is from RefSeq and is a predicted model, not a curated record. The transcript has 3 exons.
AUAAGCAGAUUAGGUCUGAUUAAACUAUCAGUGGAAUUGGAGCCAGAGACCUGCCAGGACAGAAGCAAUGUGUCCGUGCACUCCUUUGCCGCUCUGCAUCUCUCUCUCUCCCUCUGUUUUCCUCGGUGUCGCUCCAUCAGGCAUCCACGACUGAUCUGUUGCCCUGGCAGGGAUCCAGAUGCCAUCAGCGACAAGCGAGCUCCAUCAGAUACUUAAGAGACAGAUUUGCUCACUCCUCCACAUUAAUGAGCAAACACACACUCAACCCGUUGAACUGCAGGCAUUCAGUGUUUCCUGGGGGCCCAGAGCCUCAUAAAUAUCACUGGCUGCUUUGGAUCUCUCUCUAAACCGGCAGGCCUGACUGGCACUCAUCCAGCCAGACAAAACCUCAUUACAAUGUUCCUGCGAGAUUACAGCUAAAUUCUAACACCUACCGUCAACAGCCAGGCCUGCAUGAACAUCACCUGCCUAACACCAAGAUCCAGAGAUUGCUCCAGCUCCAGUUGUGUCCCACUCAUGAACAUUAUGGACCUUCAAAGAGUAGAUGCCGACUCCGCAAACAUCUUGAACCAUCUAGGGAUGUACCAGUGCUAUUUUAAACCUCACUUCAUGUAUAGUUGGACAUUGGAGAAGUUGGUGUUGGAUCUAUGAUGAUCUCAGAUGUUCAGCUAUUUUAUGAUUUGCUUAGUAGCUUCUGGUUCCACAAUGUCAACUGACUGUAUAAGACUGUAGAAAAGAUGUUAGCCAU